UACGAAGGGGGCUAGCGUUGUUCGGAUUUACUGGGCGUAAAGCGCACGUAGGCGGAUCUUUAAGUCAGAGGGGAAAUCCCAAGGCUCAACCUUGGAACUGCCUUUGAUACUGGGGAUCUUGAGUCCGGGAGAGGUGAGUGGAACUGCGAGUGUAGAGGUGAAAUUCGUAGAUAUUCGCAAGAACACCAGUGGCGAAGGCGGCUCACUGGCCCGGUACUGACGCUGAGGUGCGAAAGCGUGGGGAGCAAACAGG
Molecule: ribosomal RNA, 253 nt
Filed under: uncultured bacterium
Lineage: Bacteria
Description: partial 16S ribosomal RNA
Rfam family: Bacterial small subunit ribosomal RNA
Source: RNAcentral